This is a small nuclear RNA of Saimiri boliviensis boliviensis (Bolivian squirrel monkey), 141 nucleotides long. Its record names the gene U4. It matches the Rfam family "U4 spliceosomal RNA". From Rfam's summary of the family: U4 small nuclear RNA (U4 snRNA) is a component of the major U2-dependent spliceosome. The structure of U4 snRNA from yeast and human has been reported. The record is from Ensembl. NCBI's taxonomy places the organism in Eukaryota, Metazoa, Chordata, Mammalia, Primates, Cebidae.
AACUUUGCAAAGUAGCAAUUGUUGUAGCCAAUGAGGUUUAUCUGAGGCACAAUUAUUGCUAAUUGAAAACUUUUCCCAGUACCUCUCUGUGACGACUUGCAAUAUAGUUGGCAUUGGCAAUUUUGACAGUCUCCACAGAGA